RNAcentral lists this ribosomal RNA (497 nucleotides) under uncultured bacterium. RNAcentral's name for it is "partial 16S ribosomal RNA". It matches the Rfam family "Bacterial small subunit ribosomal RNA", at positions 28 to 507 of the family's 1533-position model. The record is from RNAcentral.
GAUGAACGCUGGCGGCGUGCCUAAUACAUGCAAGUCGAGCGAACAGACGAGGAGCUUGCUCCUCUGACGUUAGCGGCGGACGGGUGAGUAACACGUGGAUAACCUACCCAUAAGACUGGGAUAACUUCGGGAAACCGGAGCUAAUACCGGAUAAUAUAUUGAACCGCAUGGUUCAAUAGUGAAAGACGGUUUUGCUGUCACUUAUAGAUGGAUCCGCGCCGCAUUAGCUAGUUGGUAAGGUAACGGCUUACCAAGGCAACGAGGCGUAGCCGACCGGAGAGGGUGAUCGGCCACACUGGAACUGAGACACGGUCCAGACUCCUACGGGAGGCAGCAGUAGGGAAUCUUCCGCAAUGGGCGAAAGCCUGACGGAGCAACGCCGCGUGAGUGAUGAAGGUCUUCGGAUCGUAAAACUCUGUUAUUAGGGAAGAACAAAUGUGUAAGUAACUAUGCACGUCUUGACGGUACCUAAUCAGAAAGCCACGGCUAACUACGUG